UGGGGAAUUUUGGACAAUGGGCGAAAGCCUGAUCCAGCAAUGCCGCGUGUGUGAAGAAGGCCUUCGGGUUGUAAAGCACUUUUGUCCGGAAAGAAAUCCUUGGCUCUAAUACAGUCGGGGGAUGACGGUACCGGAAGAAUAAGCACCGGCUAACUACGUGCCAGCAGCCGCGGUAAUACGUAGGGUGCAAGCGUUAAUCGGAAUUACUGGGCGUAAAGCGUGCGCAGGCGGUUUGCUAAGACCGAUGUGAAAUCCCCGGGCUCAACCUGGGAACUGCAUUGGUGACUGGCAGGCUAGAGUAUGGCAGAGGGGGGUAGAAUUCCACGUGUAGCAGUGAAAUGCGUAGAGAUGUGGAGGAAUACCGAUGGCGAAGGCAGCCCCCUGGGCCAAUACUGACGCUCAUGCACGAAAGCGUGGGGAGCAAACAGGAUUNGAUACCCUGGUAGUCCACGCCCUAAACGAUGUCAACUAGUUGUUGGGGACUUCAUUUCCUUAGUAACGUAGCUAACGCGUGAAGUUGACCGCCU
RNAcentral lists this ribosomal RNA (527 nucleotides) under uncultured bacterium. RNAcentral describes it as "partial 16S ribosomal RNA". It matches the Rfam family "Bacterial small subunit ribosomal RNA", at positions 355 to 874 of the family's 1533-position model. The record is from RNAcentral.